Molecule: ribosomal RNA, 405 nt
Filed under: uncultured bacterium
Lineage: Bacteria
Description: bacterial SSU rRNA
Rfam family: Bacterial small subunit ribosomal RNA
Source: RNAcentral
UAAGGAAUAUUCCGCAAUGGGCGAAAGCCUGACGGAGCAAUCCUUCGUAAACGAUGAAGUCUUUCGGGAUGUAAAGUUUAGUAGUUGGGGAAGAAAUCUUGACUGUACCCAACGAAUAGUCACGGCUAACUACGUGCCAGCAGCCGCGGUAAUACGUAGGUGGCAAGCAUUGCUCGGAUUUAUUGGGCGUAAAGCGCGUGUAGGUGUCUUUGCAAGUUUUUUAUUAAAUAUCCUCGCUCAACGGGGAGAAUGUAAAAAAUACUACAAGGAUUGAGAAAAGUAGAGGUAAGCGGAACUUGUGGAGUAGGAGUGAAAUCCGUUGAUAUCACAAGGAACACCAAUGGCGAAAGCAGCUUACUGGGCUUAUUCUGACACUAAGACGCGAAAGCGUGGGGAGCGAAUGGG